UUCACUAGGUCUCUAGACAGCUACAGGGUGGCAUCCCACACUGUCCUUGGACUUCUUCCAAUCCUGCAACCAAUUUACUGCCCCAGUGCCCAGGUGCUUUCAUCUCUAAGGCAGGAAAUGAUGAGAUACCGAUUGUUCAGUCAUCAAUGUAACCAAAGCAAACAUCUGGCCUCUCUAUCUCUCAGGCAGCUGGGAGCACAUUUGUCAAACUGUAUCCCAAACAAACUGUAACUUUUUCCUUUACUGAAACUUCUACAUUCUGGUUCUUUUACUUUUUAAAGAAACAUAAAAGUGUUUUUUUAACAAGAUAAAAAUAUAUACUUCAGAAUUUAACUCUCCACCCACAUGUAGGAAUGGGUAUUUUGGUCCUGCAGAAUGAAAAUCUCGAAUCAUACCAAUACAGGAGACUUCAAACACUGUACACCCCUCUGGGCUGCUUGAUGACGCUUUCUUGCCUCUAUCCUCAAGGUCUCUCAACUCCCAGUAAACAAGAUCAUUGAAAGAACUAACCUGCAGAAAAGGCUGCUGCCCUUCAAACUGUGUACUGUUGUCUAAGCUAGUUCAGAAGAAUACACGAGCUUCCUUCACAUACUCCAAUCUGUUGGUUUGACUUCUGAAGAACCAGCAGAGUUGGAAAGGCCUCGAGAUCUCUGUCCUGGUGCUGGCCUGGGGCUCCCCUAGGUCUCGCCUGAAAGUGUCCCAUUCACCACCAGUCUUCUACAAUGUUAUCCGGAAUGGAACGAAGUACUACACCCACAAGUCCUGAAGGUACUGACCAAAACAGGAGGGAGAGACGGGACCGGGGCUGCUGUGACUGGAGGCUGAUGGGGCUCCACCGUGCCCCAUCCUCUCAUCCCACAGUCUUCCUUCACAUCUGCUCUGCCCACCACAGCCCUGCUCUGGAGUUCUCUGCUCUGCCACUUCUGCCAUCCCCACCUAGGCAGACAGGUUUCAUCCAGCCUCCAGGACGGCCCACCCACUUGCUCCUGCAGCAGGCUGCUCUUCCCAGGUGCACAGCCCAGAGAAUUAAGUGCAUAUAUUUACCAGAAGACAUGACCAAAGCCAUUCCUGGGGUUGCCUUCAUGUAGCCAACAUCUGGAACUAACACCAAAGUUCAUUAGGCACAAAAUAAAAGAGUUAUCUGGAA
RNAcentral lists this long non-coding RNA (1147 nucleotides) under Homo sapiens (human). RNAcentral's name for it is "HSALNT0405004". Lineage: Eukaryota; Metazoa; Chordata; Mammalia; Primates; Hominidae. The record is from RNAcentral.